UAGUGGACAGUGGCAGACGGGUGAGUAACGCGUAGCAACCUACCUAACACUACGGAAUAACGUCGAGAAAUUGACGCUAAUACCGUAUACGCCCUUCGGGGGAAAGAUUUAUCGGUGAUAGAUGGGGCUGCGUUAGAUUAGCUAGAUGGUGAGGUAAAAGCUCACCAUGGCGACGAUCUAUAGCGGGUCUGAGAGGAUGAUCCGCCACACUGGGACUGAGACACGGCCCAGACUCCUACGGGAGGCAGCAGUGGGGAAUCUUGGACAAUGGGCGAAAGCCUGAUCCAGCCAUGCCGCGUGAAUGAUGAAGGCCUUAGGGUUGUAAAAUUCUUUCGCUAGGGAAGAUAAUGACGGUACCUAGUAAAGAAGCCCCGGCUAACUCCGUGCCAGCAGCCGCGGUAAUACGGAGGGGGCUAGCGUUGUUCGGAAUUACUGGGCGUAAAGCGUGCAUAGGCGGAUUGAUAAGUUAGAUGUGAAAUCCCAGGGCUCAACCCUGGAACUGCAUUUAAAACUGUCAGUCUAGAAUUCUGGAGAGGUAAGGGGAAUUCCUAGUGUAGAGGUGAAAUUCGUAGAUAUUAGGAGGAACACCAGAGGCGAAGGCGCCUUACUGGACAGAUAUUGACGCUGAGGCACGAAAGUGUGGGUAGCAA
This 650-nucleotide ribosomal RNA is filed under the name uncultured marine bacterium. RNAcentral describes it as "bacterial SSU rRNA". It matches the Rfam family "Bacterial small subunit ribosomal RNA", at positions 86 to 771 of the family's 1533-position model. The record is from RNAcentral.